CCCCUAGAUGUUCUGGGCCGCACGCGCGCUACACUGAACAGUUCAACAAGUCUUAACCUUGGCCGAUAGGUCUGGGUAAUCUUUGAACGCUGUUCGUGAUUGGGAUAGACCUUUGCAAUUAUGGGUCUUCAACGAGGAAUUCCUAGUAAACGCAAGUCAUCAGCUUGCAUUGAUUACGUCCCUGCCCUUUGUACACACCGCCCGUCGCACCUACCGAUUGAAUGGCCCGGUGAAAUCUCGGGACGGCGGCUUGGUCGCUUGCGUCCGACUGCUGAAACUUGAUUAAACCAUAUCAUUUAGAGGAAGGUGAANUCGUANCA
RNAcentral lists this ribosomal RNA (320 nucleotides) under uncultured eukaryote. Its description in RNAcentral is "partial 18S ribosomal RNA". It matches the Rfam family "Eukaryotic small subunit ribosomal RNA", at positions 1470 to 1796 of the family's 1831-position model. The record is from RNAcentral.